GGAGUGACGGUGCCACCGCGGCGCGAUUGACUUCUAAAGACUCUUGGUACGUGAGGAAGAAACCCGGAAGAGGAAGAGGAGAGCAAAGGAGUCAGGGAUGGCUUUUUCUCAGGGUCUAUUGACAUUCAGGGAUGUGGCCAUAGAAUUCUCUCAGGAGGAGUGGAAGUGCCUGGACCCUGCUCAGAGGACUCUAUACAGGGACGUGAUGCUGGAGAAUUAUAGGAACCUGGUCUCCCUGGGUGAGGAUAACUUCCCUCCAGAAGUGGGGAUGUGCCCUUGUGGAUCUUUGUAUUUUCUCUUGUUUUUAGAUACAGUGUCUUGCUCUGUCACCCAGGGUGGAGUGCAAUGGUGUGAUCAUGGCUCACUGCAAUCUUGAAUUCCUGGGCUCAAGUGAUUGUCCCACCUCAGCCUCCCCCGGUAGCUGGUACAGGUGCAUGCCACCAUGUUUGGGCAAAUUUUUUAGUUUGUUUUCUUUCCAGACAGGGUCUUGCUGUGUUGUUGAAAUUCAUCUUGAUCUCCUGAGCUCAAGAGAUCCUCCUCAGUCUCCCGAGUAGCUGAGAUUACAG
This 566-nucleotide long non-coding RNA is filed under the name Pan troglodytes (chimpanzee). RNAcentral's name for it is "long non-coding RNA NONPTRT008220". The record is from RNAcentral. Lineage: Eukaryota; Metazoa; Chordata; Mammalia; Primates; Hominidae.